RNAcentral lists this long non-coding RNA (336 nucleotides) under Gallus gallus (chicken). RNAcentral's name for it is "lncRNA (ENSGALG00010022461.1)". The record is from RNAcentral. Lineage: Eukaryota; Metazoa; Chordata; Aves; Galliformes; Phasianidae.
UUUCAGCAACUUGGAUGCAGUGGAGCAUCUGGAAGGGACUACAUGUUUCAGAAAAAAGAGAAGAACAGAAAGAUGGGCCUUGGAUAAUUAACCACUAUUUUGAGUAAUUAAAACCACUUCUACAUAUUCAGAACCCAACCAUCAUUAGGGGUACUUCAAGAACAAGCUGUAAGAUUUGGAGCUCCAUCACUUCACUUAGCCCCUUCUAGCCAGAGAUGCUGAAGAAAAGUACGCUGCGGAGACUUUGUUUGAAAAAUGUAUUUCUUGUACAGAUCAUUAGGACUGAGCAGGUUGACUUGUUGACAAACACAUGGAUUAAAAAUACUGCUAUAGCUG